UCUGGGUGCGGUGGUGCGUGCCUGUAGUCCCAGCUACUCGGGAGGCUGAGAUGGGAGGAUCGCUUGAGCCCAGGAGUUCUGGGCUGUAGUGCACUAUGCCGAUCAGGUGUCCACACCAAGUUCGACAUCAAUAUGGUGACCUCCCAGGAGCAGGGGAACACCAGGUUGCCUCAGGAGGGGUGAACCAACCCAGGCUGGAAAUGGAACAGGUCAAAAUUCCCAUGCUGAUCAGUAGUGGGAUUGUGCCUGUGAAAAGCCACUGCCCUCCAGCCUGGGCAACAUGGUGAAACCCCGUCUCUA
Molecule: signal recognition particle RNA, 300 nt
Filed under: Callithrix jacchus (white-tufted-ear marmoset)
Lineage: Eukaryota; Metazoa; Chordata; Mammalia; Primates; Cebidae
Description: Metazoan signal recognition particle RNA (ENSCJAG00000081447.1)
Rfam family: Metazoan signal recognition particle RNA
About the family: The signal recognition particle (SRP) is a universally conserved ribonucleoprotein. It is involved in the co-translational targeting of proteins to membranes.
Source: Rfam by way of RNAcentral